AAUAGGACGUAUGGAUGGAUGGAUGGAUGGAUGGAUAGGAUGGAUGGAUGGAUGGAUGGAUAGGACGGAUGGAUGGAUGGAUGGAUAGGACGGAUGGAUGGAUGGAUGGAUGAAUAGGACGGGUGGAUGGAUGGAUGGAUGGAUAGGACGGAUGGAUAGAUGGAUGGAUGGAUAGGAUGGAUGGACAGAUGGAUGGAUGGAUGGAUGAAUAGAUGGAUGGACAGAUGGAUGGAUGGAUGGAUGGAUGGAUAGAUGGAUGGGUGGGUGGAUAAAUAGGACGGAUGGAUGGAUGGAUGGAUGGAUGAAUAGGAUGGAUGGACAGAUGGAUGGAUGGAUGGAUGAAUAGAUGGAUGGACAGAUGGAUGGAUGGAUGGAUGGAUGGAUGAAUACGAUGGAUGGAUGGAUGGAUGGAUGAAUAGGAUGGAUGGAUGGAUGGAUGGAUGGCUGGAUGGCUGGCUGGAUGGCUGGAUGGAUGAAUAGGAUGGGUGGAUGGAUGGAUGGAUAGGACGGGUGGAUGGAUGGAAAGGAUGGAUAGGACGGAUGGAUGGAUGGAUGGAUGAAUAGAUGGAUGGACAGAUGGAUGGAUGGAUGGAUGGAUGGAUAGAUGGAUGGUGGAUGGAUGAAUAGGAUGGAUGGAAUGGAUGGAUAGAUGGAAUGGAUGAAUAGAUGGAUGACAGAUGGAUGGAUGGAUGGAUGAAUAGAUGGUGGACAGAUGGAUGGAUGGAUGGAUGGAUGGUGGAUAAAUACGAUGGAUGGAUGGAUGAAUAGGACGGAUGGAAUGGAUGGUGGAUGGAUAGGACGGAUGGAUGGAUGGAUGGAUGAAUAGAUGGAUGGAUGGAUGGAUGGAUGGAUAGGACGGAUGGAUGGAUGGAUGGAUGAAUAGGACGGGUGGAUGGAUGGAUGGUGGAUGGAUAGGAUGGAUGGAUGGAUGGAUGGAUGGAUAGGAUGGAUGGACAGAUGGAUGGAUGGAUGGAUGAAUAGACGGAUGGACAGAUGGAUGGAUGGAUGGAUAGAUGGAUGGAUAGAUAGAUAGAUAGAUAGAUAGAUAGAUAGAUGUUAUUCUUGUAGCUGCUCUCUUUCCUCAGCAUAAAGAAAGUGCUCGAUACAUUUCUUUUUGCAUGAAUUAAUGGAAAAUGGAAAGAGAUGAGGGACUUGGGGUUUCUUGGAUGACCAAGGAUUCUCCUGCUGUAGAAGGAGCCUAACAGCACAUAAAGAACAUAAAUUUUCUAGUUGAAGAACCGGGUGGGAAUCUCAAUUUUACCACUUACUAGUUGCACAACGUUGGGCAAGUCACAACCUCUUUGAACUGGAGCCUCAUCACAAACAAAAUAAC
Molecule: long non-coding RNA, 1333 nt
Filed under: Felis catus (domestic cat)
Lineage: Eukaryota; Metazoa; Chordata; Mammalia; Carnivora; Felidae
Description: lncRNA (ENSFCAG00000048251.1)
Source: RNAcentral